This 256-nucleotide ribosomal RNA is filed under the name uncultured bacterium. RNAcentral's name for it is "partial 16S ribosomal RNA". It matches the Rfam family "Bacterial small subunit ribosomal RNA", at positions 524 to 776 of the family's 1533-position model. The record is from RNAcentral.
UACGUAGGGGGCAAGCGUUUGUCCGGAAUCAUUGGGCGUAAAGAGCGUGUAGGCGGCUCGAUAAGUCUGCUGUGAAAGUCCAGGGCUCAACCCUGGAAGGCCGGUGGAAACUGUCGGGCUAGAGUCCGGAAGAGGCGAGUGGAAUUCCCGGUGUAGCGGUGAAAUGCGCAGAUAUCGGGGAGGAACACCAAUGGCGAAGGCAGCUCGCUGGGACGGUACUGACGCUGAGACGCGAAAGCGUGGGGGAGCAAACAGG